Molecule: ribosomal RNA, 416 nt
Filed under: Taeniamia macroptera (dusky-tailed cardinalfish)
Lineage: Eukaryota; Metazoa; Chordata; Actinopteri; Kurtiformes; Apogonidae
Description: partial 12S ribosomal RNA
Rfam family: Bacterial small subunit ribosomal RNA
Source: RNAcentral
CCCCUCUAGGGGGAGCCUGUUCUAGAACCCGAUGACCCCCGUUUAACCUCACCUUCUCUUGUUCCCCCCCGCCUAUAUACCGCCGUCGUCAGCCCACCCUAUGAAGGCCCAGUAGUGAGCACAACUGGCAUAGCCCAAAACGUCAGGCCGAGGUGUAGCGUAUGAGAAGGGAAGAAAUGGGCUACAAUUGCUUAAACAGCUAAUACGAAUUGUAACGCUGAAAAUGCACACAUGAAGGAGGAUUUAGAAGUAAGGGGGCAAGCAGAGUGUCCCCCUGAAAUGGUUCUGAAGCGUGCACACACCGCCCGUCACUCUCCCCAAGCUAGACAAUUAAACUAUAAAUAAGCACUUAAACCCUACAAAGGGGAGGCAAGUCGUAACAUGGUAAGUGUACCGGAAGGUGCACUUGGAAGAAA